This is a non-coding RNA of Meleagris gallopavo (turkey), 2258 nucleotides long. The record is from RefSeq and is a predicted model, not a curated record. Lineage: Eukaryota; Metazoa; Chordata; Aves; Galliformes; Phasianidae.
AUGGAAGGGAGGGUGACACCCAUGGCUCCCUGAAGGUAGUGGGUCUGACUCUGGGUGUUGCCAGAGCUUUAAUGUCACCUAUGGGAGGAGCUCAGCUUGAAGAGAAGAUGAGUUUGCAUGCAAAUCAAGAGUGGAGAAGUGGGAGGAAUUGGGACAGCCAUCAUUGAGAAGAAAGCCUGGAUGGAUAAGCAAUACCCUGGAUGCAGUUGGCUUCCACCUGAUGCCCAACCAUUCCAUGUGGUCACUGCUCCAAAAAGAAGCAGAGAGGUUCCCAAACUGCCCAGAUCACAGCAUGCUCCAGAGGUGCCAGGCUGGGCAGCCUCCUGCUGAAUUUUCUCAUGGAAUAUUUGUCUUGAUGCUCCAGUGCUCCCUCGCUGCAAUUCUGUGGAUUUCUUCUUGACAAGGCACCGCUGACAACAGGCUUGCUAAUCAGUAGGGUGCACCUCAUCUUCAUGGAGAUGUAUGCAUGUGCUUUAAUUGCAAAUAAAUGCAGUGAGCCAUAUUUGCCUAUCGUUUAGAGCUUGCCUUUCCCAUAUGAUAAACACAGCUUUGGCUGCUUGUUCUCAUCCUCCAUGCACACUGCUAGUGCUUUCACAGCCUGUUUGCCAUCGUUGGCUCUUUGCUUGCUGCUUGGAUGCUUUCCUUGCCAGAUUUUGCAAGAUCCCCCCCCCCUUCCUUGUGAAGGAGGCAUGUUCUACCUGACAUCUGCUGAUGGUCCAAUGUAGUGAGGGUUUGAUGCUGUGUUUUACAAUGGAGCCCAAGACCUAGGAGAACCCAUUUGUGCCAUGUUGUGCGCUGUGCCUCUGUCUCGACGAGCACUUGGAGGUAUCCCCAUACGUCCAGUAAUGAGCAUGGGCUAAUUGCCUAGGCAGAUAGAAAAAUAGAUAGGUAAUUUGUAGCUAUUUAAUUUUACAUUAGGCAGAGGGAUGUUAGGGGCAGAGGCUAAUGUUGUUGGCAUUUCUUUUCAGGGUUGUUAACCAGAUAUGCUGCCUCUGGGGCAUAACAAUACCUCCCUCGGUAGUGCUCUCUAAUACUUUUAUUACGUUCUUAUUAAUUUAGUGAUGGCCUAAAGUCUGUGAGGCACCUUCCAAGGCAUGAUCCCUACCCUGAGGACCUUACAGACUAAUUCCAAGGCAUGAUACAACUGGGGAUUACUCAGUGAGGGCAAGGGCCUAAUGGAGUAUGAAAUGGCUUCUAUUAGAUAAAUGGAUAAGAGUGAAUCAGUGGAAGAGUUAAUCACAUGGCUCCGUAUAGGCACGUGGGCUAAGUGUCACCUUGGGGCAGCAAUGUGGCUGAGGUCACUCCAAGCAGGGAGCAGGGAUGGAGGCUGUCCGUCACCUCCCACCUUGUUGGAGCAAAAGCAGAGCGUGGUGGGUAUAUUGCAGAAUGAAAUCCCACAAUGGUGCCUUUUUGCCUUGGGUUUCAGCUCUCUGCAAAGUGAAGGCCCCAAAGAGAGGAGAGACCCGGAGAGGAGCGGGGGCUGCAUUAGGGCUUUGCUCAAGGGUGGCCUCAGCACCUGUCCUCCUCGUUUGAAGCCUGGAAGCUGCCCAGCACGGGACAGAUGGGGCUGCUGGGCAGCGACAGCUGGGGGGGCAGAGGGCAGAAGGGAUGAAAGCGAGCUGGGCAGCCCUCCCCUCGCUGCCGGGGAACAUUUGGUGUCCAUGUGGCAUCUGGCAGCAGUACUCGCUUCUCUGGCAUUUCCUCUGGUGAAAGGAAGAGCAGAGCAAUUUGCUCCCAGGAGGCUGCUUUGCUCAGCUACAAGGCAGCAGCCGCGUCCUGCCCCAGCUCUUUGGCUUGGUGCUGCAGCACAGACCCCAAAUCGCCCCCAAACCAGGAACCCCCAGUCAGGUACAUUUUCUCUGCCCUGAUUUAUUCCCUUUAUUAUUUGUUUUUGUUUUUUUUUUUCUUUCAAACUGCCAAGGAACAAACAGUUGCAUCGCUUACUUUAACAACGAGUUGCUUCAGCAACUGGACAUUGGGUUUAGCGUGGCUGGCUGCAUCUUCUUGACAUCAUUGUUUGAUUUUUCAGUUGCUGGAGCAACAGAUUGCUGGGAAGGACCAGCGAGGUCGAGGUUUCUCUCUCUUUCUUCCUCCACAUUGCUUUUCUUUAGGCCCAGAGCAUCAGAGUCGGUUUGCCUUUCACUGAAGACACACACUGUUAACAUAUGAUGGGAAGAUGUCAGGCAGUACUAGAAGAAAUGGAGGUUAGGUCAAAGGCUUGUUACAAUGGGAGAAUUCCUGCAAAACUGGAGAGAAGA